AACGAACGCUGGCGGCAGGCUUAACACAUGCAAGUCGAGCGCCCCGCAAGGGGAGUGGCAGACGGGUGAGUAACGCGUGGGAAUCUACCCAGAUCUUCGGAACAACUGAGGGAAACUUCAGCUAAUACCGGAUACGCCCUACGGGGGAAAGAUUUAUCGGAUUUGGAUGAGCCCGCGUUGGAUUAGCUAGUUGGUGGGGUAAUGGCCUACCAAGGCGACGAUCCAUAGCUGGUCUGAGAGGAUGAUCAGCCACACUGGGACUGAGACACGGCCCAGACUCCUACGGGAGGCAGCAGUGGGGAAUAUUGGACAAUGGGCGAAAGCCUGAUCCAGCCAUGCCGCGUGAGUGAUGAAGGCCUUAGGGUUGUAAAGCUCUUUCAGUAGGGAAGAUAAUGACGGUACCUACAGAAGAAGCCCCGGCUAACUUCGUG
RNAcentral lists this ribosomal RNA (431 nucleotides) under uncultured bacterium. Its description in RNAcentral is "bacterial SSU rRNA". It matches the Rfam family "Bacterial small subunit ribosomal RNA", at positions 29 to 507 of the family's 1533-position model. The record is from RNAcentral.